AAAAGCGCAUGUGACAGUCCAAACCGUGCGGUGGCUUCGUGGGAAACACGAUUAAGUUGACGAUUUUUCUUCGUCUACUCUACUAAUCACGUCAGACAAGUUUCGUCAAAACCUCAAAGCUUUUCUCAACGCAGAGUCCAAAAUCGACGAUAAUUUCGCACCAGGCGGGGCUCCUUCAUUUAACGUAAGCUCCGGCAGUAUAAAAGAAAUCUCUGGCUGCAGUUUCCAGGCAAAAUCAGCCACGUCAUGCGAGAGCUUCGAAGAGAAUACAACUCGGUGGUAGACGCUGUGCCAGACAGCCACGUGACGACGCGUUCUUCCUCUUCCCUUUCAUUCUCUUCAAGCUCCUCUUUGUCCCACGAUGUACAUUUUUUCACGGAAAGACUCAGCUGAAUACGUAAAUGUCAACACAUGCGAUUUCCCGGACGAGACGGAAGAAAACUCAACCAAUAAUCACCUUCGAUGUUGUACCGAAUGCAUGAGCGAAGUUGCCAAUCGCCUCGUAACAAUGGCCCUCUCACUCGCGGAUAUGUCUCAAGUUUAAGGUUGCAAUUUCGACACACACCCCGAUGCACGUACCAAGGAACAUGUGGGCUAACUCUAAUCUAAAAGAUGCUGAUCAUUGAUUGGAGACCCUUCAACUGUCCUUGUGGAUCUCGUGAAAUUUUCCAUACCAUUGCUUCCUCCGAUAUUUCAUUGCUUGCAAAGGGAGUUGCAAAGUUCCUCAAAAAUCUCACGUUUUCAUGCAACUUCUUUGAAGACGAAGAAGAAGAAGCACAAUUACCGAGCCGAGCCACGGGGUAGUCUCUGCGAAGGAAAUCUCGUUUUAACGAGACAAACUCGAAGAAACGGUUAAGGCGUGGGUGCAUGAAUAAAG
This is a long non-coding RNA of Venturia canescens, 877 nucleotides long. RefSeq lists it as uncharacterized. The transcript has 4 exons. Lineage: Eukaryota; Metazoa; Arthropoda; Insecta; Hymenoptera; Ichneumonidae. The record is from RefSeq and is a predicted model, not a curated record.